GUAAAGGCCCUUUUCAGGGCUACCCACAAUUUGAUUUGAAUUCUUU
This is a non-coding RNA of Schistosoma margrebowiei, 46 nucleotides long. The record is from Rfam. NCBI's taxonomy places the organism in Eukaryota, Metazoa, Platyhelminthes, Trematoda, Strigeidida, Schistosomatidae.